GAUGAACGCUGGCGGCGUGCCUAAUACAUGCAAGUCGAGCGAACAGACGAGGAGCUUGCUCCUCUGACGUUAGCGGCGGACGGGUGAGUAACACGUGGAUAACCUACCUAUAAGACUGGGAUAACUUCGGGAAACCGGAGCUAAUACCGGAUAAUAUAUUGAACCGCAUGGUUCAAUAGUGAAAGACGGUUUUGCUGUCACUUAUAGAUGGAUCCGCGCCGCAUUAGCUAGUUGGGAAGGUAACGGCUUACCAAGGCAACGAUGCGUAGCCGACCUGAGAGGGUGAUCGGCCCCACUGGAACUGAGACCCGGUCCAGACUCCUACGGGAGGCAGCAGUAGGGAAUCUUCCGCAAUGGGCGAAAGCCUGACGGAGCAACGCCGCGUGAGUGAUGAAGGUCUUCGGAUCGUAAAACUCUGUUAUUGGGGAAGAACAAAUGUGUAAGUAACUAUGCACGUCUUGACGGUACCUACUCAGAAAGCCACGGCUAACUACGUG
This 497-nucleotide ribosomal RNA is filed under the name uncultured bacterium. Its description in RNAcentral is "partial 16S ribosomal RNA". It matches the Rfam family "Bacterial small subunit ribosomal RNA", at positions 28 to 507 of the family's 1533-position model. The record is from RNAcentral.